GGAAGCCCUGACUCCAGGCCUUUUCCAUAGGGAUGUGAUUUGCUUUUAAGAGCCAGACGGAUGCUACAAAUCUUUCUUCCCAAGAAAAAAACAUUCUGAGAUUCCUCUCAACAAUUGAACACACCCCAGCUAGGCUGCUGGAGGAAUGUAAGGGACAUGUAAACAGAAUCAGCCACUGACAGCCAAUCAACCCGACAUGCAGGAAAGA
Molecule: long non-coding RNA, 208 nt
Filed under: Felis catus (domestic cat)
Lineage: Eukaryota; Metazoa; Chordata; Mammalia; Carnivora; Felidae
Description: lncRNA (ENSFCAG00000053681.1)
Source: RNAcentral